GAGUAUUUGAAGGCUGAAUCUGUUUCUCUCUUUGCACAAGAUCUAACCAACUACUUCCAAGAGAAAGUUGACCAAAUGUUAAGUAACUUUCCUCUUCCCUUUGGCUUGCCCUCCCUCUUCUCAUCGCAUAUGCCAAUCUGGUAUCCUCCUAAUCCAUUUACAUGCUCCACUGAUCUAAUCCCCCUUCCGAUCUCUGCCAUGGCCAUUAUUUCCCCUACUUCUUUCUCAGUCUUUCUCACUUUCUUUUGCCUCAGAAUAAAAGCAUGUUUUUGUAUUAAGAAGCUGCCCCAGGUAAGAUCCAGCAAUCAGUUCUCUCUUUUCUAAGCACAUCAGAAAAUGUCACAUAGAGUACUCACCACAAAUUUCGUUCCAAAUCUUCAAAACCCUCUGCAGUCUCCUGACUCCACUGAAACCACUCUUAACUGGUGCCUUUAUUCUAACUAAAAGAUAGACCCCAGGCUCCUUCAUCAGUACCUAUUGAUUUUUUAUCCUGUUGAAGUUGCUCUUGAAAUGUUAUCCUUCCUUUACUUCUGUUUUCUUCUCUUUUUGUUCAUUUUGUUCAUGUCUCAAUAAGCAGAAAAAGAAAAGAAUUAUAAUAAGAGGGCAAGGAGUCCUGAUGAAACAUUCUGAGCUUUAUAGUUUACAGAAUAAAUUAAUUGUUAUAUUUGAAAUUAACUGGGAGAAAAGAAAGGGAUUAAAUAACAGUUAAGCAUUCGAAGAGGACAUCAUAAAAACCAUCCAGUUUAGUCCAGUUAAAUAGUUCACCUGGAAUGAGCUAGUUCAGGAGUUAGGGAAGGAAGGCUACCUAUCAUGAAGCUAAGACAAAGCGGAAGCAUCCCUGGAAGAUGAAGUGUACUGCUAAACUUUGCAUACUCACCCUCACUUCUUCCUCUAUCCCUUGGCUUAGUUAGAAGGUAUUUGAUUAGAAAGGUGCACUAACAUGGAACUUGAAGUUAUGAGAUGCAAAAUCUUUACCUUCAUGUGAGCUUCCAAUCAACGAGAGAAUGAUUUAGAGCUGAAGAGCAAUUGAUAAGCCUUGUUUCCCCCAUAGACCUCUUGUUGGACUGAGGACUGAAACUGAAAUGGCCCUUCUAGCAGAGAAGCACGCUAAAAAGAUCCUUCCGAUACAUAAGAUCAGCACCAGUCUUAGGAACAGGCAAAGUAGGCAGUUUUGGCCUGAAUUUGAAACUGUACCGUUACUUCUUGUGACGACAUGAUAAGGUACAAUUUAAAGCUAAACGUUCAAGUGGCAAUAAUGUGUUGGCUCACCUACUAGUCUUUCUGUCAUAAAUGGGAGGAUCUCAUGGCCAUUCAGACAGGGACAGUCACAAGGGUGAAAGGGAUGUAUGCUAAAAAAAAAUCACUUCAGAUACUUACCAGUUGGCAGUGCCAGUAUUCUCAUUGUUUCUUUGAAUCUGCUGCAUUAAUGGAGGAAGCAAAGAAAGCUACCUCUCUUCUCAAAUGGCAAAGUUGAUACAAUGAGCCUUUUUUCUUUUCCUUUGAAAGCUUUAAAAGUCUACUUUGAUGGGACAACAAUGAUUACUUUCUACAUGAUCUAUAGGUCAUAAUUCAAGUGUCAGAGGUUUGCUGCUAAAGACUUGAUCAGGAUUUCUUUGGAAAACGUGGCAGAAACCUCCAGCAGGUUCCCAAAACUUGAAUGUCUCAGCCGAUUAGGCUGGGAUGAGACUCUCUUGUAGAAGCUGUUCUGCUCUGCGUGUGGGCUCAUUGAAUGGCAUCAGAAACCAGCCUGCUAUGGUUUCCUGUGGGCAUGCAAGUGAUAAAACAAGAACUGUUCUGAUACUGUUAUUUUCAUCCUAAUUUAUGCUCUCCGUACCCUCAACAAUUCCUGAAGUUUUCAUUUUGAGAGAGGAAUCUGUACACAGUGGUGGUCAUUGAUAUAUAGAAAAAAUAAACCUUGUUAACUGAUAUAUUACUACUACUAUAUAUAUUAUGCAUAUUUUGCUCUGCAAUCCUUGCAGAAGAUUGUUAAUUAAUAAAUUAUUUUUGGGUGAAAUGCUACUUAAUUUUGAUUGCCAAAAUUAAUGUCUGUCAAAUUUUCCGACUAUUACUAUAUUUCUGUCAUAAAAUGAAAAGGCUGUUCAAUACCUUAAACUGUGUUUGAAAAUUUUGAGAGGAGUGUAUGUCAGUCCAUUUAGUAUAUA
Molecule: non-coding RNA, 2162 nt
Organism: Struthio camelus australis
Lineage: Eukaryota; Metazoa; Chordata; Aves; Struthioniformes; Struthionidae
Source: RefSeq, a predicted model, not a curated record